RNAcentral lists this ribosomal RNA (254 nucleotides) under uncultured bacterium. RNAcentral's name for it is "partial 16S ribosomal RNA". It matches the Rfam family "Bacterial small subunit ribosomal RNA", at positions 524 to 776 of the family's 1533-position model. The record is from RNAcentral.
UACGGGGGGAGCAAGCGUUGUUCGGAUUUACUGGGCGUAAAGGGCGCGUAGGCGGUCAGCACAAGUCAGUUGUGAAAUCUCCGGGCUUAACUCGGAAAGGUCAACUGAUACUGUGCGACUAGAGUGCAGAAGGGGCAACUGGAAUUCUCGGUGUAGCGGUGAAAUGCGUAGAUAUCAAGAGGAACACCAGUGGCGAAGGCGAGUCCCUGGACAACACCUGACACUGAGGCACGAAAGCUAGGGGAGCAAACAGG